CAAUAGCGUAUAUUAAAGUUGUUGCGGUUAAAAAGCUCGUAGUUGGAUUUCUGCUGAGAACGACCGGUCCGCCCUCUGGGUGUGUAUCUGGCUCUUUCUUGGCAUCUUCUUGGUGAACGUUGCUGCACUUGACUGUGUGGAGCGCUACCCAGGACUUUUACUUUGAGGAAAUUAGAGUGUUUCAAGCAGGCAUACGCCUUGAAUACAUUAGCAUGGAAUAAUAAGAUAGGACCUCGGUUCUAUUUUGUUGGUUUCUAGAGCUGAGGUAAUGAUUAAUAGGGAUAGUUGGGGGCAUUCGUAUUUAACUGUCAGAGGUGAAAUUCUUGGAUUUGUUAAGGACGGACUACUGCGAAAGCAUUUGCCAAGGAUGUUUNCAUUG
This 379-nucleotide ribosomal RNA is filed under the name uncultured eukaryote. RNAcentral describes it as "partial 18S ribosomal RNA". It matches the Rfam family "Eukaryotic small subunit ribosomal RNA", at positions 592 to 975 of the family's 1831-position model. The record is from RNAcentral.